GUGAGGAAUAUUGGUCAAUGGACGAGAGUCUGAACCAGCCAAGUCGCGUGAAGGAAGACGGUUCUAUGAAUUGUAAACUUCUUUUGUGCAGGAAUAAAGUGGGUUACGUGUAACCUUUUGUAUGUACUGUACGAAUAAGGAUCGGCUAACUCCGUGCCAGCAGCCGCGGUAAUACGGAGGAUCCGAGCGUUAUCCGGAUUUAUUGGGUUUAAAGGGUGCGUAGGUGGAUUGAUAAGUCAGCGGUGAAAGUUUGCAGCUUAACUGUAAAAUUGCCGUUGAAACUGUCGGUCUUGAGUGCAAAUGAGGUAGGCGGAAUGUGUUGUGUAGCGGUGAAAUGCUUAGAUAUAACACAGAACUCCGAUUGCGAAGGCAGCUUACUGGGAUGCAACUGACACUGAUGCACGAAAGCGUGGGUAUCAAACAGGAUUAGAAACCCUAGUAGUCC
Molecule: ribosomal RNA, 445 nt
Filed under: uncultured bacterium
Lineage: Bacteria
Description: bacterial SSU rRNA
Rfam family: Bacterial small subunit ribosomal RNA
Source: RNAcentral